Molecule: long non-coding RNA, 918 nt
Filed under: Felis catus (domestic cat)
Lineage: Eukaryota; Metazoa; Chordata; Mammalia; Carnivora; Felidae
Description: lncRNA (ENSFCAG00000044899.2)
Source: RNAcentral
CCCCUAACCUGGCAUUUUCUAUUUUAAUUUUAUCAGUGUGCUGGCCUUAAAAUAUUUUGUCCAAACCUAUAUGGAAACAAAUGAUUAAAUUAAAUAUUUGAUGAAAUUAAUUAAAUAUUAAACUUACUAAACUCUUCCUCUUGCCAUCUCUUUCUUUUCCUUUUCUUUUCUUUUUUUUUUCCUGGCCCAGGAUAAAUAUUUCCAAGUUUAAGAUAUCAUCCUCUCAGUAACGGAACUUCAAGCAAAACCCGCUCUGGAAGAUAUACAUGAUAAAAGCACCCUGUCAACCACGGACACAUCCCACAGCCAUUUCCCCCUUGUGACAGCUCAUAAAAUGCUGCAUAAUAGUUCCUGUGUGAGUAUGAGAAAAUACUGAAACAACGUCAAGAGAAUCAAGCAAAAGGCAACUGGUCCCCUGGAUCCGUCUUCAUUGGGUCCCACUGGACAACUUUUUUUGCCGGAUGAACGGUAGAGGCUGGUAAUACCACAAACAACAUUCCAGGAUAGCAAAAAUUUAAGAUGUUACCUGAAGGAAUUUCCGGAGCCCUACUCUAAACCCAAUCCUGAAGAUGUCACAGAAGGGAGAAAGAAAAUGGUGGAUCUAAGAAAAUAUUGGAAAAACUGAAAAGUCCCUGGAGAGACAGAAGUUGGCUCCGUUCUGAGUCCUAGCUGAAGCAACGACCAACUAGAAAAUGCAUUAGAAAUCCAGGCAUCAUCCAGAAGAGCAUUAAAAAACCUAAGGAAGACAUUGGAGAAUUCGUAUGCUAUUUUAGCUGGCUCUGUGAUUGCAAUCACACAAAUCACUCCAUUCCAGAGAGAUUUCACGAACAGGAGGUUUUUCCAUUUCAGCCUUUCAAGUGUUGCAGAGCAAGAUAAUGACUCUCCCAUAAGCUUAUGAAUUGCUAUAGAACUGGAACC